This 253-nucleotide ribosomal RNA is filed under the name uncultured bacterium. Its description in RNAcentral is "partial 16S ribosomal RNA". It matches the Rfam family "Bacterial small subunit ribosomal RNA", at positions 524 to 776 of the family's 1533-position model. The record is from RNAcentral.
UACGGAGGGCGCAAGCGUUAAUCGGAUUCAUUGGGCGUAUAGGGCGUCUAGGUUGUUGGAAAAGUCAGACGUGAAAUCCCGGGGCUCAACCCCGGAAUUGCUUCUGAAACUCUUCAACUAGAGGAUAGUCGGAGAAAACGGAAUUCCAUGUGUAGCGGUGAAAUGCAUAGAUAUAUGGAAGAACACCAGUGGCGAAAGCGGUUUUCUAGGUUAUUCCUGACACUGAAGCGCGAAAGCAAGGGGAGCAAACAGG